GGAGUUGUGGCUCAGUGGUAGAGAACUUGCCUGGCAUGUGUGAGGCCCUGAGUUCAAUCCUCAGCACCA
This 69-nucleotide transfer RNA is filed under the name Marmota marmota marmota (Alpine marmot). It matches the Rfam family "tRNA". Rfam says of the family: Transfer RNA (tRNA) molecules are approximately 80 nucleotides in length. Their secondary structure includes four short double-helical elements and three loops (D, anti-codon, and T loops). Further hydrogen bonds mediate the characteristic L-shaped molecular structure. tRNAs have two regions of fundamental functional importance: the anti-codon, which is responsible for specific mRNA codon recognition, and the 3' end, to which the tRNAs corresponding amino acid is attached (by aminoacyl-tRNA synthetases). tRNAs cope with the degeneracy of the genetic code in two manners: having more than one tRNA (with a specific anti-codon) for a particular amino acid; and 'wobble' base-pairing, i.e. permitting non-standard base-pairing at the 3rd anti-codon position. RNAcentral also lists the same sequence under 1 other name. The record is from Rfam by way of RNAcentral. Lineage: Eukaryota; Metazoa; Chordata; Mammalia; Rodentia; Sciuridae.